This 511-nucleotide ribosomal RNA is filed under the name Duganella margarita. RNAcentral describes it as "partial 23S ribosomal RNA". It matches the Rfam family "Bacterial large subunit ribosomal RNA", at positions 698 to 1209 of the family's 2925-position model. Lineage: Bacteria; Pseudomonadati; Pseudomonadota; Betaproteobacteria; Burkholderiales; Oxalobacteraceae. The record is from RNAcentral.
AGUCGCUGGGUGUAGACCCGAAACCAAGUGAUCUACUCAUGGCCAGGAUGAAGGUGCGGUAACACGCACUGGAGGUCCGAACCCACUAAUGUUGAAAAAUUAGGGGAUGAGCUGUGGGUAGGGGUGAAAGGCUAAACAAACUUGGAAAUAGCUGGUUCUCUCCGAAAACUAUUUAGGUAGUGCCUCAAGUAUCACCAUCGGGGGUAGAGCACUGUUAUGGCUAGGGGGUCAUCGCGACUUACCAAACCAUUGCAAACUCCGAAUACCGAUGAGUGCGAGCUUGGGAGACAGACGUCGGGUGCUAACGUCCGGCGUCAAGAGGGAAACAACCCAGACCGCCAGCUAAGGUCCCAAAGAUUGGCUAAGUGGAAAACGAAGUGGGAAGGCUAAAACAGUCAGGAUGUUGGCUUAGAAGCAGCCAUCAUUUAAAGAAAGCGUAAUAGCUCACUGAUCGAGUCGUCCUGCGCGGAAGAUGUAACGGGGCUAAGCCAGUCACCGAAGCUGCGGAUAU